RNAcentral lists this ribosomal RNA (328 nucleotides) under uncultured eukaryote. Its description in RNAcentral is "partial 18S ribosomal RNA". It matches the Rfam family "Eukaryotic small subunit ribosomal RNA", at positions 1470 to 1796 of the family's 1831-position model. The record is from RNAcentral.
CCCUUAGAUGUCCUGGGCUGCACGCGCGCUACACUGAUGUGUCCAGUAAGCACCUAACCUCUUCCGAAAGGAACGGGUAACCUUUGCAAAGCACAUCGUGAUGGGGAUAGAUUAUUGCAAUUAUUAAUCUUGAACGAGGAAUUCCUAGUAAACGCAGAUCAUCAAUCUGCAUUGAUUACGUCCCUGCCCUUUGUACACACCGCCCGUCGCACCUACCGAUUGGAUGGUCCGGUGAAGCCUCGGGAUUGUGGUUCUUGCCGCUUUAUUGUGGCGUGACCGCGAGAACUUGUCUAAACCUUAUCAUCUAGAGGAAGGUGAAGUCGUAACA